CCUACGGGAGGCAGCAGUGGGGAAUAUUGCGCAAUGGGCGAAAGCCUGACGCAGCGACGCCGCGUGAGGGAUGAAGGUCUUCGGAUCGUAAACCUCUGUCAGCAGGGAAGAACGUUCACUGUGCUAAUCAGCAGUGAGUUGACGGUACCUGCAAAGUAAGCACCGGCUAACUCCGUGCCAGCAGCCGCGGUAAUACGGAGGGGGCGAGCGUUAAUCGGAAUUACUGGGCGUAAAGCGCUCGUAGGCGGUAUGUCAAGGCAAGGGUGAAAUCCCCGCGCUCAACGUGGGAACGGCAUUUGAAACUGGCAGACGGGAGUGUGGGAGGGGAAAGUGGAAUUCCAGGUGUAGGAGGGA
This 354-nucleotide ribosomal RNA is filed under the name uncultured bacterium. RNAcentral describes it as "partial 16S ribosomal RNA". It matches the Rfam family "Bacterial small subunit ribosomal RNA", at positions 338 to 684 of the family's 1533-position model. The record is from RNAcentral.